This is a long non-coding RNA of Falco peregrinus (peregrine falcon), 3863 nucleotides long. RefSeq lists it as uncharacterized. Lineage: Eukaryota; Metazoa; Chordata; Aves; Falconiformes; Falconidae. The transcript is spliced from 8 exons. The record is from RefSeq and is a predicted model, not a curated record.
AAGACUUGGAAUCCAUGUCCGCUAUUGAUUUUACAUGAAGAAAAUGGUUCAGAUCCAUUUGAGUACUAGAAAGAGCCCAUUUAGAAGCACAAAGUAGACCAUAAAAUCUAUAUGCUAUAAAAAAGAAACCCCAUUGCAUACUGAGAGUUCAUUUUAUAUCGCAGAGUUCAUUUAUGAACACAUAGCUGAUAAUGGAUAAAACCCCUGUUGUAUUAUGCUAAAUCUAACCGCCCUUUGCCACACAGCAGACCAGGGGGUGAGGCAGGAGGACCUCUGGUCACCUGUGCGCAGCUCGGCUUUUGCUGGCCUGUCUCAUGGCCAGAGCUGUCGAAUGCAUCAGGCUGUGAUAGCGCAUGUUACACAGCAGCUGCUUCUGUAAUUGAGAGAGACUUAACAUCCCCCUUGUCUGUUACUAAAACACAGACCCUUUGUGGGUGCACAGCAGCACCUCUGGGAUGUACCUACUCACAUUGGACAAGUCUUUCCUAAACAACUACUGCUUCCUGAGAACACACAGCUCUGCACAAAUGUACCAAAGCAUCCCUUGGUACGGCACGUGAACACUUUUUUGUUAAGAUGAGAGAGGAUUCAGGUACACAUCAUUGAAUUCAGAAAAGCAGUAUUGCAAACCUAGUGUAUUGGUAUAACACACAUACAACAUAUACAUGGAGGUUAUGCACCUGUGUAAUAUAUACACACCCCCUUAUUCAUGUUUUCGCAAGUUCAGGCUCACACCAGAUUUGUUUCAGCAGGAAAUAUUUUGUAAGUAAUGGCAGGAGAUGUUAGUCAAUACAAUAGUUCUUUCCAGGACCAUAUGCCUGUUCAGACUUUGUGGAGAAAUGAUCAACGAAGAUUCAGAGUUUGGCCUGGAAAGGUGGUGCACAGCAGGAACGCAAAAAGGUUGUCCUCAGGGAUCAAAGGAGGCUUGCAGAGUGUCUGAAUGCUGCCGACUUUUAUCUCCCUGUAUCACAUUAAUUCACAAAGGAUCAGCCCCUAGACACUAAAGAUUUGUCAGUUUUGUCCCAGAUAUAUUCCUUUCAGAUAGAUCUGUUACAGUUAGGCUUCUUAUUGCCAAUGGCUAGUUAGCUCAGAUAAGUAGCUCCAUCCCCUUACUACGCUUCCACCUGCAGCUACUUUCAUACUGUGGUACUGAAGAUACUCCUUUGCUUGUGAAUAGCUGUGAGCAGGGGAAAGCAAACGGGGAGAGGUCCUUCUCCUUGCCCAGGUGGGAGGGUCAAAUAGGAAAGUCUAUCCCCCUGUCUUGCUCUUCUUCCCCUGGGGAGGGGGCGGAUAGUCUGUUUUGUGUCUGGGAAGAGAACACCAGAUCCCCAUGAGGGCCAAAAAGGGCAGCUGUUCAGGGAUGAGAACCUGGUUUUUUCUACUUGAGGGAGCUCCCAGUCAGCUACAGAUCCAAGGUUGCCCCUACAACUUUUCUUCAAAGGGCCUCAAGAAGCACAGAAGACCCCUUAAGCUCAAAAGCUGGUUUCACAUGAGCAGAUAAAUACUAAGUCAAGGCAAAUUUUGUAACUGCAGAAAACUCGGACUGAAACCAGGCUCUGAAAGGUCUGUACCCACACCUGACCCUGGUCCUCUCUUGCAGGCUCUCUCCUGCUCAAAUAACCUUUCACCAGCUUCCUGGGUCAUGUUAAAUGCUACACACUGUCCUUUGGCUCCCCACAAUUAUUUUUCUUUCCUUCAGGAGCUGUGCAUUUGCUAUUCCCAGCAAUUUUCUAAUCCCAGUUAUGCCACAGCUUUCCAGUUCCCAAGAUUUCUCAUUUCUACUUGCUUUUUCUAGCUGUCUCUGUCCUUGGGAAUCUUCCUUCCCACAAAGCAGGCUCAUUUGCUCCCAGGAGGCACCGAUUUCCCUUCCCCUCACUGUGUUCACUUAAUGAGUUGUGUCUAUUUCCAACAUGGUGUAUAACAGAUAAAAACCAUGAAUAGCUUACAUACUUUCUCUCUUUUUGGUGUUUUAGGAAGGGUGUAUUUGGAGGGAUACACGGCAUUCAGUGUAGACACACUGCAGCACAAUGUAAGAGCACCUUAACUAUUGAAAACGCUUGUUUUAGGAAAAAAACAUAGUAGUAUUUUUUCAUACAGCCCUAAAAAAAUCGAAUUCCUAGCCUAUUUUGGGCUUCUAAAACUACUAUGCAAUAAACAUAGCAAGUUAAAUAUACCCAUAUCAUCACAUGUGAACUUGCAUGGGUGUGUAUGAUAAAAAAGGUGAUGUAUACCACAUCUACAUAUAUAAAUACGAAUUGUUUCAGGAAUCAAGCUGUAGAUCUUUUUCUUAUAACCUAAUGCAAAUACAAAUUCAACUGUAACUAGAUGUGUGAACAAGAGGGUCGAAAUGAGGACCUAGAACAAGUGGAAAGAGGAACAAAUUCAGGUGUCUGAAGCUUUUUGCUACUUCUGCACCCCACGCCCUGCAUGAGACCGAACAACAUCUGCGAGCACACGCACCCGGUGGGAUUCUGGGCACGCAGGGGUUGCCAGCCCGAUGGUUUGGGUCUCUCUGCAGCAUUUGGGAAUCGGCCAGGUCAUGAUUUAUCUCAGCCCUAAUGAUAAUUCAGCAUGAAACUGCAAAGCAGAGCGCGGCUUUCUGCAACUCAGGGAAAAGGUACCUCAGAUAUCUCAACCUUCUGGGUACACCCAUGCAAAUGGCAAUCACAACGUUCACCUGCUUGGUGUAGGAACCCACCCUCUAAGAACCACCCUGAUGACCCUCUAACACGGACCACCAGCGCUGGGUGGGACGUCAGGUGUCAGCUCUUGGCAGUGCCACCAGCUUCAGCCCCUCUGUGGACCUGCCCGGGGCUGCCCGUGGCACUGAAGCAGCUGCUUCUCGACUGCAUGUGGACUGAGCUCCUCUGUGAAUUACGGUCCAGUGAACUGUGGUAGAGCUGGCCUGUUUUCCCUGGGCUCGUGGAGCAAACUGCAGGAAGACAUUAGGAAGAGUAUCAGAACUCUGAAGUAGAUGACCUGCAGCCACAUUAAUUAUUGAUUGUGUUAGAAGUCGAUGAGUUGUGCUAAAUUAAUCUGUGCCAAGAAUAAUUCUACAUUUGGAUCUUAUCUCCUUCUUACUACUCUGGGAAAGGUAUCUGGCCCCACAAAUUACUCUGGAGAAAAGGGAAAUAUUUGCUCUGGAAAUGAAAAGUGAAGCAGACAGCAGGUCUCCAUGUUUCCCCAGCAGUGGCACAGCGGCAACAGUGGAUGUUCUCUGCACAAAUCAGCUGGUACUGGAUGGUUUCUUCCUGGAAAAAUAAAUGGAACAUAAACUGAUGGAGUGUGGUAUCACUGAUUUAAGGAGAAGCUGGAGCAGAUGAUGAUGAAGCGAGGUCCUGAGCACCCCUUUCCCAGUGGAGGUACCAGGACAGGAGACUCACAAUCUUCUCGCAUCAUCACUUCCACCCCUGAGGGAUUAGGGGCACGCCUGUAUCAUGGUUACAAGCAUGAAUGAAGCUUGUGCAGACGUAUCUGGGCUUACUUCAGAAGCACAGGCUUGGCCUUCAAGAGUUCCUGCUCAUGUGUUCAGUGUUCAUACAGUAUGUAGUACAACAGCAUCCAUCACUAUGUCUCCCAGGUGCUGCUGCAAUACAGAUGUCAGCCACCUUUCCUUUUGCCUGGGCACCUUUAUCAGUGCCGCUGAAGGGAAGGAACACUGUGUGGGCUGUAAAUUCCUCGCCAAAGACCAUGUAAAUACUUGGACAGUUAGUUCAUGCUGGUCCCUGAGCUGCCGCUGUGAAGUAUUAAACUAACUAGUUAAAGAUGGUUUGCAUGCAUUUGCAGCUACAGCGGAAGUCGAAUGAUAAAUAUUCCCAACCUACUUGCAAAUAGUGGCAAAUUCUGAAUAAAUGUAUGAAAUG